RNAcentral lists this ribosomal RNA (481 nucleotides) under uncultured bacterium. RNAcentral describes it as "partial 16S ribosomal RNA". It matches the Rfam family "Bacterial small subunit ribosomal RNA", at positions 28 to 507 of the family's 1533-position model. The record is from RNAcentral.
GAUGAACGCUGGCGGCGUGCUUAACACAUGCAAGUCGAACGAAGCACUUUAUUUGAUUUCCUUCGGGACUGAUUAUUUUGUGACUGAGUGGCGGACGGGUGAGUAACGCGUGGGUAACCUGCCUUGUACAGGGGGAUAACAGUUGGAAACGGCUGCUAAUACCGCAUAAGCGCACGGCAUCGCAUGAUGCAGUGUGAAAAACUCCGGUGGUAUAAGAUGGACCCGCGUUGGAUUAGCUAGUUGGUGAGGUAACGGCCCACCAAGGCGACGAUCCAUAGCCGAUCUGAGAGGGUGACCGGCCACAUUGGGACUGAGACACGGCCCAAACUCCUACGGGAGGCAGCAGUGGGGAAUAUUGCACAAUGGGCGAAAGCCUGAUGCAGCGACGCCGCGUGAGCGAAGAAGUAUUUCGGUAUGUAAAGCUCUAUCAGCAGGGAAGAUAAUGACGGUACCUGACUAAGAAGCACCGGCUAAAUACGUG